Physeter macrocephalus (sperm whale) is the source of this 3720-nucleotide RNA transcript. It is a transcript of the gene named HBS1 like translational GTPase, with no coding region annotated. The record is from RefSeq and is a predicted model, not a curated record. NCBI's taxonomy places the organism in Eukaryota, Metazoa, Chordata, Mammalia, Artiodactyla, Physeteridae. The transcript is spliced from 19 exons.
CGCUGAGGCCUGCCGGAAGCCAAGAUGGCGUAUCGGCGUUCGCCAGGACGCAGUUGGCGCCUUGUCAGUAUCUGAGCUGGUAGUUUGUAAGCGGCUGUGGCGAACGCCCUCUCCGCCGUCAUGGCCAGGCAUCGGAAUGUCCGAGGCUAUAACUACGAUGAAGAUUUUGAAGAUGAUGAUCUCUAUGGCCAGUCUGUAGAGGAUGAUUAUUGUAUUUCACCAUCAACAGCUGCUCAGUUUAUUUACUCACGACGUGACAAACCUUCAGUUGUUGAACCUGUAGAAGAAUAUGAUUAUGAAGAUUUGAAAGAAUCCUCUAAUUCUCUUUUGAACCAUCAGCUAAGCGGAAUUGAUCAAGCUCGUCUUUUUUCAUGCCUUGAUCACAUGAGAGAGGUACUUGGAGAUGCUGUGCCAGAUGACAUAUUGAUUGAAGCAGUUCUGAAGAACAAGUUUGAUGUGCAAAAGGCUUUGUCAGUGGUUCUGGAGCAAGAUAAAAUGCAGAAUUUGAAGGUCAAGAGUGAGGGAGCAAUAUCUACAGGAAAGAUAGCAAAAGGAAAAUCAAUAGAUUCCCAGUCAUCUCGAAGUGAAUCUGAAAUUGUGCCAAAAGUUGCUAAAAUGACUGUAUCUGGAAAGAAGCAAACUAUGGGAUUUGAAGUGCCUGGAGUAACUGCUGAAGAAAAUGGUCAUAUUUUCCACACACCUCAAAAAGGACAUUCUAGUGAAGAUACCAGCCUUGUUUCUUCUGAUGUACUUGAGACCGCUUCUAAAUCAGCUCUUCCAUCCCACGCCAUUCAAGCAUCAGAAGAGCAGAGUUCAACACCAACACCACCAGUGAAGAAGUCUAGCAAGCUGAGGCAACAAAUAGAUAUCAAAGCGGAGCUGGAAAAGCGGCAAGGAGGGAAGCAACUCCUCAACCUAGUGGUCAUUGGUCAUGUUGAUGCUGGGAAAAGUACUCUGAUGGGCCAUUUGCUUUAUCUUCUGGGUAAUGUAAACAAAAGAACUAUGCAUAAGUAUGAACAAGAGUCUAAAAAGGCUGGCAAAGCUUCGUUUGCAUAUGCAUGGGUCUUGGAUGAGACUGGCGAAGAAAGGGAAAGGGGAGUAACAAUGGAUGUUGGUAUGACAAAGUUUGAGACCAAAACCAAAGUUAUUAUAUUAAUGGAUGCUCCAGGCCAUAAGGAUUUCAUUCCAAAUAUGAUUACAGGAGCAGCCCAGGCAGAUGUAGCUGUUUUAGUUGUAGAUGCCAGCAGGGGAGAGUUUGAAGCUGGAUUUGAGACGGGGGGACAAACACGAGAACAUGGCCUCUUGGUUCGUUCUCUGGGAGUGACCCAGCUCGCAGUUGCAGUCAAUAAAAUGGAUCAGGUUAAUUGGCAGCAAGAAAGGUUUCAAGAGAUUACUGGAAAACUUGGGCACUUUCUUAAGCAAGCAGGUUUUAAGGAAAGUGAUGUAGCUUUUAUCCCUACAAGUGGUCUCAGUGGUGAAAAUCUAAUCACAAGAUCUCAGUCAAGUGAACUUACAAAAUGGUAUAAAGGACUAUGUUUAUUAGAACAAAUUGAUUCCUUCCAGCCUCCUCGAAGAUCUGUUGACAAGCCAUUUAGAUUAUGUGUAUCUGAUGUUUUCAAAGAUCAAGGAUCUGGAUUUUGUGUAACUGGUAAAAUUGAAGCUGGUUAUAUCCAAACUGGUGACCGACUACUAGCAAUGCCUCCUAAUGAAACUUGUACUGCAAAAGGAAUCACCCUGCAUGAUGAACCUGUUGACUGGGCGGCAGCAGGCGAUCAUGUUAGUCUUACGUUGGUUGGGAUGGAUGUCAUCAAAAUCAAUGUUGGCUGCAUAUUUUGUGGACCCAAAGAACCCAUUAAGAUUUGCACUCGUUUCAGAGCCCGAAUCCUCAUCUUUAAUAUUGAAAUUCCUAUCACUAAAGGAUUUCCUGUGCUGUUACACUACCAAACCGUCAGUGAACCUGCCGUUGUUAAACGAUUGAUUAGCGUCUUAAACAAAAGCACUGGUGAAGUCACGAAGAAAAAGCCUAAAUUGUUGACCAAAGGCCAGAAUGCAUUGGUGGAGCUACAGACACAAAGACCAGUGGCUCUUGAGCUGUACAAAGACUUUAAAGAGCUGGGGAGAUUCAUGCUGCGCUACAGUGGUUCUACCAUAGCUGCUGGUGUAGUCACCGAGAUUAAAAGAAUGAUGGGAAGAAAAUGUUUCAUCUUAGAUCUUCUCAUAACGAGACUUCCAAACUGUCUUCUCCACCAGUAAUAUGCUCAAAAUUAAAGGAAAUCCAUUGAAAAAUACAUCUGUAUGCAGUCCAAACCAUGAGAAUAGACUUUAAUAAGAGUCAAAUGAAUUGAGGGUAGUGGUUUUGUUUAACAAAGUGCCCUCAUUACAUUUUUUUUUUAAAUAACUGGUUCUCAGUUCAUUCAUUCAGAAAGUUCAGUUAAUAUAUCAGUAAUGUUUCUGAAACAUUAAUAUAUAAUGUAAGGUACAGUUGAGUUUUGGAGAAAAUAGCCAGAAAUGAACCAGAAUUUCAGUGAUUUAAAUUUUCUUCCACACUGUCAUGGUUAAUAUAGAUCUUAUGAAUACAUGCAUGCCUCAUUUUAUUGCACUUCACAGAUACUGCAUUCUACAGAAUGAAGGUUUGUGGCAACCUUGCAUUGAGCAGGUCUCUAGGCACCAUUUUCCCAACAGCAUUUGCUCACUUCAUGGCUCUGUUUCACACUUUGGUAAUUCUUGCAGUAUUUCAGACUUUUACAUUAUUAUUAUAUUUGUUAUGGCGAUCUGUGAUCAGUAAUCUUUGAUGUUACUCCUACAAAAAGGUUAUGACUCACUGAAGGCUUAGAUGAUGGUUAGCCUUUUUUAGCUAUAAAGUAUUUUUAAGUUAAGGUAUGUACACUGUUUUCUUAGACAUAAUGCUGUUGCACUCUUAAUAGACUAUAGUAUAGUGUAAACAUAACUUUUCUAUGCACUGGGAAACGAAAAAAUUCCUGUGACUUGCUUUAUUGUGAUUCUCACUUUAUCGAGGUGGCCUGGAAUGGAACCCACAAUAUCUCCGAGAUAAAAGGCUGAUGGGUCAGAAUUGCUACCAUGUUUCUAAACACAAUGAGAUAGUUAACCUCUGUGUUUUGAAAAAAUCCAGUUAUUCAGUUAAAGCAACAAUGUGCAAUUGAUAUUUUUUUAAAUGAGAGAGAAAAUUCAAGCUAUAAUCAGCUGCAAAGAAGUAUCAUUCAUCACUCCUACAAAAAUUUUAAGUUGCCAACUGGCAAAGAAAGGCUAAUAUUGCACUUUCAUUUAAAAAACUAACUUUUCCUUUGAAAUGUUGGUAAUGGAUUUACCUUGCUGUGACUUACGGAAGUUAUCAGAAAUAUGAGUUAGAAGACGUUGAAUCAUCAUGACGUGAACUCUACUUCCAGCCAAACCACAAAAUGUUUACAGUUUUCUCUUUUGAUUUCAACUUACAACACACAUUUUUAAGGAAGAAUAACUAAAAUGGGUUAUUGAGGUAGUUAAUAUUUGACCUGAGCAGUUUUUUAGUUAACUGUAAGAAAAGAUUUGUUGAAGGUUAAUAAAGGUAUUUUGUGUUGAGCAGUGAGUGUUCUUCCUUCAACGAACAACCAUUUGGAACUGCUUAGUUUGCAGUUAUUGGAAAUUGUUCCUUUGGUAACCAAGAUAUUAUUUAAGGUGAAAAGCCAGUUAAUAAAAUGCCUUAGUUUAAGCAUAACAACAAAA